Molecule: ribosomal RNA, 117 nt
Filed under: Microcebus murinus (gray mouse lemur)
Lineage: Eukaryota; Metazoa; Chordata; Mammalia; Primates; Cheirogaleidae
Source: RNAcentral
GGCUAUGGCCAUACCACCCUAAACAUGCUGACUCCUGUCUGAUCUUGGCUGCUAAGCAGGGUGGGGCCGGGUUAGUACUUGGAUGGGAGAAACAGAGACAGAGAGAUCUCCUAUCUC